This 401-nucleotide ribosomal RNA is filed under the name uncultured bacterium. RNAcentral's name for it is "bacterial SSU rRNA". It matches the Rfam family "Bacterial small subunit ribosomal RNA", at positions 28 to 419 of the family's 1533-position model. The record is from RNAcentral.
GACGAACGCUGGCGGCGUGCUUAACAACAUGCAAGUCGAGCGGGAUCCAACCGGUGGCAACACCGGGGAAGAUCUAGCGGCGAACGGGUGAGUAACACGUGAGCAACCUGCCCCGAAGACUGGGAUAACACCGGGAAACCGGUGCUAAUACCGGAUGUCGUCAUUAGGCCGCAUGACCUGAUGAUGAAAGGAUUCAUCGCUUCGGGAGGGGCUCGCGGGCUAUCAGCUUGNGGUGGGGUAACGGCCUACCAAGGCGACGACGGCUAGCUGGUCUGAGAGGACGACCAGCCACACUGGGACUGAGACACGGCCCAGACUCCUACGGGAGGCAGCAGUGGGGAAUCUUGCGCAACUGGGCGAAAGCCUGACGCAGCAACGCCGCGUGGGGGAUGAAUGCCUUC